RNAcentral lists this long non-coding RNA (950 nucleotides) under Homo sapiens (human). Its description in RNAcentral is "non-protein coding lnc-SLC47A1-4:1". Lineage: Eukaryota; Metazoa; Chordata; Mammalia; Primates; Hominidae. The record is from RNAcentral.
AUGCCUAUAAUUAACCUUCUCCUACUCAUCAUUCCUACUCUAAUCACUAUAGCAUUCCUUACACUCACUGAACGGAAAAUCUUAGGCUAUAUACAACUACGCAAAGGACCUGACAUUGUAGGUCCCUAUGGACUGCUUCAACCAUUCACUGAUGCAGUAAAACUUCACCAAAGAACCCUUAUGGCCCUCAACAUCUACUAUUACCCUUUAUAUUAUUGCUCCAACCCUGGCCCUUUCUAUCAUUGUCCUCUUGUGAGCUCCCCUCCCUAUACCAGAUCCUCUAAUUAAUUUUAAUAUAGGCCUCCUAUUUAUACUAGCCACAUCAAGCCUAGCCGUCUACUCUAUUCUAUGAUCAGGAUGAGCAUCUAAUUCAAAUUAUGCACUAAUCGGCGCAUUACGAGCUGUGGCCCAGGCAAUUUCAUAUGAGGUCACCCUAGCCAUCAUCCUGCUGUUAAUUCUACUGAUAAGUGGCUCAUUUAACUUAUAUGCACUCAUCACAACACAAGAAUUCCUCUGACUGCUCCUACCAUCAUGCCGCCUAGUCAUAAUAUAAUUUAUCUCCCCACUAGCAGAAACUAACCGAGCCCCUUUUGACCUAACAGAAGGAGAGUCAGAGUUAGUCUCGGGCUUCAACAUUGAAUAUGCCACAGGUUCAUUUGCCCUCUUCUUUAUGGCAGAAUACAUGAAUAUUAUCUUAAUAAGUGCCCUAACUACUACUAUUUUCCUAGGAGCACUACACACUAUAUAUUCACCAGAACUCUAUACCACAAAUUUCAUUAUCAAGACCCUCGUUCUAACCGCCCUGAUUUUAUGAAUUCGAACAGCAUACCCCUGACUGUGCUACAACCAACUCAUAUAUCUCCUAUGAAAAAACUUCCUACCACUUAAACUAGCAUUCUGCAUAUGUUAUAUGGCCUGUCCUAAUUUCCAGCAUUCCACCUCAAACAUAG